UAUUGAUUAUAUUACCAAGGCUUUGACUAGAAUGGCAUGCUUGGGAGAAACAUGCAUAGGCUCAGAUAUGACCAGACAGCUUUAAAGAACUAAGCUGGAUUUUAAAGAGCUAAUAAAGCCCCUGGGAAAUAUCAGUCUGAUACUUGCUUACAGAAUCCCCAGCAGCCUUACCAGCCCUCUUAUUUAAUAACUGAUUACUGGAACAAUAGGCCUAACUUUGAGAACAUACCUGCAUCAUCACUUCCUGAAAGAGUUUAAUUGAACUGAAUAUCAGGACUAAGACUGGUUCAACAAGAUGAAACCAUCUACCAACUCAAACUUUAAGGUGUGUGUUUCGCUCUGUGAUGAAGGACACCCAUAUCAAGAUCACAGCAUUAGUUAUUCUUUAUUGUGAAAUACAACAGGAUAACUCCUAAGCAUCUUGGACAUUUGCAAAUUUAAGAGAUAGACACAGGUGAAUGGAUCAGGCUUCUACAUUUUUGCUCUUCUUGUACUAUGUUCAGAAAGGAAUCUGGGAAUCCUUGAGAGUUGGAUAAAACUGGCACAAAAAAUGGAAAAAAAAAAAAAAAACACUGAAUGAAGUCUUUGGAAAAAAAACAAACCCUAUAAAUCGACUCAAAGUAAAACCUUUCUUAGGUCUGAAAAAAUCUCAGACAAGUUUAGAAGCAUUUUUAUGUACAGUGUCUUUAUCUUCCUGCUGACUUUCAGAAGUAGAAACAAAGACAGACAAAACCCACAAAAGACAAAAACACAAACAAAAUAAAACAAAAAACAACUCAACGCUAUGUUCUUAAAGGCACAAAUGGUAUAUAGGCUUUCGAAUUGAAACUGGCUCUUCAUGUGGCAAGAGAACAGUGUGGCCAAAGUGGAUAGUACAGCAGCCAGCAGCAUCUUUCCUGGUUAAUCAAUGUGAUGGACAGGUGGACACAGAUGGAUUUUCCUUGAAAGUUGUUCCAGCCAAACUGGUUUUCAUAGAAAGGGCUCUAUUUUAAUCUUUGUUCCAAUAUAACCACUAUAUAUUAGAUAUAAUCUAAACUGUUUUAUUUGUAAUUCAUAUUGCUUCUUUAAACUUUUAGUUGAGCUGAGAUUUUUUCUGUCCACCAGAUUAAAACUUAUCAGGUCCCAAAAUGUUUAUGUUCACCGUACAGUAAUGCAGUUACUAUAAGAGAUAAGACAGCGUUCGUGCAAAAUGCAAAAAUAAUCAGUGUAUGAUAUUAAUUAGCAUUUUGAGUUUUAAUCCAGAGUAAGGGGCCCAGGCCUGUAGAUAGUAGGUUCGGGCAUUUGGGGAGGAGAAAGAGAAGCUUAUCGGUAACGUUCCUGGGCUGGACUUGUCCAGCUGUAGUUUUGGACCAUGCCAAGGUUAAAGAGGGAGGAGGGAACAAGAGAAAUAAGGAAGGGAAAUUCUUUGCUGGCUGGUAUCUUCAUAAGCUGGUUUCUCACUCUGGCCCUGGUGGGUGUUUGUAGCUGAUACUUUCUUCUGUGGGUACUAUGAAGACCCUCUCAGUAGCCCUUUUUAGUGGCAGCUCUCACAGCACAUGAGAACAUCUCUCCUUCUGACCUCAGCCCUGGUGUGGAGAUAUCCCCAUCCUGGUUCUACACCAAGUCGUUUCAUGCUCCAGACCAGCUCUUUCCCCUACAGCCCACAUUUGGUCCAUGGGAAUCAAACAUUUCUUGGCUUUUACUAAUGGAAGUAUAGUUCCUUUGCAAAUAGAACCAUGUUGUCUCUUUGUUUUCCUGAACUAGGCCACUCUAAUUUUCUCAGUCCAUCGUAUCUCUCAAUUAUGGAGAGGAUUAGGUCCCUCUAGGGUCUCUGGCUGAAACCCUUACUCGUCAUUGAGAUCGUUAACUCCUCUCUUUUCCCCUUGGGGACUGGAGGUGAGGCUCAAGCCCAGCUUUUUCCAUAGAAACAUUCCCCCAAAUAUAUUUUUCAUUCUCUAAAUGCUUUGCCCCCCUUUUUAUAAUCUUGAUCUGAUUGAAUGGUCCAAGAAGCGUGGAACCAGUUUUUGUACAUUCUUUUUGUGCAUUCUACAUUUUGUCUGUCACCUAGCUUUGGUACACAUCACCUGUUGUAUUUUGUUGCAUGGACCAAAACCCCAGUUAACACUCUGUUACACUGACGUGAACUCCAAUGGUAGUCCCCUUGCUUAGAUCUUAGCCUAAGAUUGCCAGAGAAAAUGGAUAACCAUUUAAAUUUAGGUUUCAGAUAAAUGGUGAAUAAUUUCUUUGUGUGUGUAUGUCAAUUGCUAUUGGAGCUAUGUGUAAACUAAAAAAGUGUUCAUCUGAAAUUCAAAUGUAACUGGGCACCUGGAAUUUUAUUUGCAAAGUCUGGUAGCCUUCUCUUAGUUAAAACUGCUUAAAGCAACUUAAAUAGAUUUUGAUUAACAUUUUAUUAUCUGCAGGGCUGUAUAUAUGUACUUAUGUCUCUCAUGUCCAAUCUGGAUAAUUAGAUGUAACCUGUGCUGGAAGCCUCAAAUAACUGUCCAGCAAAUCUGUUUUGACUACAAUAUGGUUCUGUUUCUGUCCGUGUCGAGAUUUGACAUCUUCCUGGUGACAAAUCGGUCUUUCAGCUACACAUGUGUAAUUAAUCUUGAGGCUGAAGAUGGUUUCCCAUCAGCCAUGUUCAGGCCUAGCUCGGGGAGGGUUAUAAUAGGAUGAAAAGAAUUGUAGUACAGAGAAUAAGCUCUUUGUUCUGUUAUUAAACACUUCACUGCUUGUAGCUAACGAUUUAUUCUUCAACUCAUAAAUACUUGUUACUUGUAAUAUGUCUUGUAAGCACUUCAAAAUAUAUCCUAUUAAGGCUA
Molecule: long non-coding RNA, 2801 nt
Organism: Leopardus geoffroyi (Geoffroy's cat)
Lineage: Eukaryota; Metazoa; Chordata; Mammalia; Carnivora; Felidae
Exons: 5
Source: RefSeq, a predicted model, not a curated record